This is a long non-coding RNA of Myzus persicae (green peach aphid), 1186 nucleotides long. RefSeq lists it as uncharacterized. NCBI's taxonomy places the organism in Eukaryota, Metazoa, Arthropoda, Insecta, Hemiptera, Aphididae. The transcript is spliced from 2 exons. The record is from RefSeq and is a predicted model, not a curated record.
GUAAAAAAACAAUUGUUUAUAUGUAAUGAAAACGCAUGCAAAUAAGGUAAGUUUUUAACUUUUGUUUGACCAUUAUAAAUCAUAAUACGUGACUGCGCUUAAUAGUUAUUUUAUAAAAACGUAACCCAGCAUGAUUAACGUGAUACUAUAAUUUAGUUAUUUUUUUAUAAUAUGUAGGUAUAAGGUAUACUCAUGCAGAUUAACUUAUUUCAAUUACUUUGUACAUAACAAGACGCUUAAUAUUAAAAGUUCUUCAAUACCGGUUCGUAUAAUAAAUAAUGAUACAUAUGGGCGUUGGCCAUUUUCAUGUUUUAUAUUAUUGGUAAAGUAAGUUCUAAUCGUUUAGAAAAAUGUGUAGCGGCUAUAAUUGAUGUGCGAUGUGUCUAUUUAGUACUUGGAGCGUCGGUCGGCUGCUAUAGCCGCUUGGGGAACCAUUUUAAAUAUUUACUCUAUAUCCUCGUUAUCUUUUGUUUUUUGAUCAAUAAUUCUAUACUUUUAUUAUUUAUGAAAGAUUUUAAUAGAGAUUUAAAGACUUAGCAGGUUGCAUAAAUUACCAACAUUUAAGAUCAAUUAAAUUUAGAAAGAAAUUCAGCAUUAUCAACCCUAAUUAAUCUCUUAAAAAAUGUAUAGCUUAUUUGUUUUUAACGCAUUAAUUUUUACAAAUAAUUAUUGAAUGAUGUAUGACAUAUGAUGCGGUACUCGAGUAUUGUAUAAAAUUACUAAUAUGUAUAGACGUGUAUUUAAUACAGUACGUCAGCACGAAAUAAUUCGUAAAUUUUUUUCGUGACGAAUAACUAAAUGGACCACUGUUGUAAACAUUAAAAUUGAAAACAUGCAGUAAGGUUUUUAGAAUUGAAAAAACGCCCAAAAUUAACUCGAUAAUAGAGCAUUAAGUUCACGGUUAUAAUAAUAAUUAUGUGUCUAUACCUUAGAAUGUAUUUACUAAGGAUAGAACCAUCAUGCCGGGGAAACAAUUUUAUGCACAUCCAACAGCGACGAGUAUCUGGUUUAUAUACGCAUGCUAGGUAUAUCAUGUAAUCUGAGGUGCUCACAUACCGGACAUGAAGACGUCAAUGGGAUUGACGGACGAUGCCCUGACGCGCACCAGAACUUCUUUGGGCCCGAGGGACGCGGGCGAUUCUGCCUUGUCGUUGAGCUUGGCCGAGUCUUUAAACGGCGCGUAGGC